CAUGCAAGUCGAGGGAAAACGACAUCGAAAGCUUGCUUUUGAUGGGCGUCGACCGGCGCACGGGUGAGUAACGCGUAUCCAACCUGCCCACCACUUGGGGAUAACCUUGCGAAAGUAAGACUAAUACCCAAUGACGUCUCUAGAAGACAUCUGAAAGAGAUUAAAGAUUUAUCGGUGAUGGAUGGGGAUGCGUCUGAUUAGCUUGUUGGCGGGGUAACGGCCCACCAAGGCUACGAUCAGUAGGGGUUCUGAGAGGAAGGUCCCCCACAUUGGAACUGAGACACGGUCCAAACUCCUACGGGAGGCAGCAGUGAGGAAUAUUGGUCAAUGGACGAGAGUCUGAACCAGCCAAGUAGCGUGCAGGAUGACGGCCCUAUGGGUUGUAAACUGCUUUUAUAAGGGAAUAAAGUGAGUCUCGUGAGACUUUUUGCAUGUACCUUAUGAAUAAGGACCGGCUAAUUCCGUGCCAGCAGCCGCGGUAAUACGGAAGGUCCGGGCGUUAUCCGGAUUUAUUGGGUUUAAAGGGAGCGUAGGCCGGAGAUUAAGCGUGUUGUGAAAUGUAGAUGCUCAACAUCUGCACUGCAGCGCGAACUGGUUUCCUUGAGUACGCACAAAGUGGGCGGAAUUCGUGGUGUAGCGGUGAAAUGCUUAGAUAUCACGAAGAACUCCGAUUGCGAAGGCAGCUCACUGGAGCGCAACUGACGCUGAAGCUCGAAAGUGCGGGUAUCGAACAGGAUUAGAUACCCUGGUAGUCCGCACGGUAAACGAUGGAUGCCCGCUGUUGGUCUGAAUAGGUCAGCGGCCAAGCGAAAGCAUUAAGCAUCCCACCUGGGGAGUACGCCGGCAACGGUGAAACUCAAAGGAAUUGACGGGGG
This 875-nucleotide ribosomal RNA is filed under the name uncultured bacterium. RNAcentral's name for it is "bacterial SSU rRNA". It matches the Rfam family "Bacterial small subunit ribosomal RNA", at positions 54 to 919 of the family's 1533-position model. The record is from RNAcentral.